RNAcentral lists this ribosomal RNA (497 nucleotides) under uncultured bacterium. Its description in RNAcentral is "partial 16S ribosomal RNA". It matches the Rfam family "Bacterial small subunit ribosomal RNA", at positions 28 to 507 of the family's 1533-position model. The record is from RNAcentral.
GAUGAACGCUGGCGGCGUGCCUAAUACAUGCAAGUCGAGCGAACGGACGAGAAGCUUGCUUCUCUGAUGUUAGCGGCGGACGGGUGAGUAACACGUGGAUAACCUACCUAUAAGACUGGGAUAACUUCGGGAAACCGGAGCUAAUACCGGAUAAUAUUUUGAACCGCAUGGUUCAAAAGUGAAAGACGGUCUUGCUGUCACUUAUAGAUGGAUCCGCGCUGCAUUAGCUAGUUGGUAAGGUAACGGCUUACCAAGGCAACGAUGCAUAGCAGACCUGAGAGGGUGAUCGGCCACACUGUAACUGAGACACGGUCCAGACGCCUACGGGAGGCAGCAGUAGGGAAUCUUCCGCAAUGGGCGAAAGCCUGACGGAGCAACGCCGCGUGAGUGAUGAAGGUCUUCGGAUCGUAAAACUCUGUUAUUAGGGAAGAACAUAUGUGUAAGUAGCUGUGAACAGCUUGACGGUAACUAAUCAGAAAGCCACGGCUAACUACGUG